RNAcentral lists this long non-coding RNA (270 nucleotides) under Calidris pugnax (ruff). Its description in RNAcentral is "lncRNA (ENSCPUG00000018476.1)". The record is from RNAcentral. Lineage: Eukaryota; Metazoa; Chordata; Aves; Charadriiformes; Scolopacidae.
AUGCCAUGCCUGUCAAAGGAGGGAAGAAACCGGACUGCCAACAUUACCAUGGAAACACGCAAAAAUAAAGACUUUCCCAGCCUUGUGAGAGCACACCUGCAAGAACAAGAAUUGCCUGUCAGAAGUGACUCUCCUUCAUUAUUGGUGUCACCUAAGGACAUUUUUUGUGGGCUGGAGCUGGUGUUUAUAAGAAGAAUUCUUCCUAGAAGUGCAAAGCUACUGUCAGCAGGAACAAUGGUCCUUCUCACGUGGUCUGCUCACUCCAGCUAA